RNAcentral lists this small nuclear RNA (125 nucleotides) under Chelonoidis abingdonii (Abingdon island giant tortoise). RNAcentral describes it as "U4 spliceosomal RNA (ENSCABG00000003689.1)". It matches the Rfam family "U4 spliceosomal RNA". From Rfam's summary of the family: U4 small nuclear RNA (U4 snRNA) is a component of the major U2-dependent spliceosome. The structure of U4 snRNA from yeast and human has been reported. The record is from Rfam by way of RNAcentral. Lineage: Eukaryota; Metazoa; Chordata; Testudines; Testudinidae.
AGCUAUGCGCAGUGGCAGUAAUCAUAACCAAUGAAGUUAAUCUGAAGGUGUGAUUAUUGCUAGUUGAAAAUCCACUCCUCUCCCCCUUCCUGGUGGUGAGAUGGUACAGUACUACUGUAGACAGC